RNAcentral lists this ribosomal RNA (497 nucleotides) under uncultured bacterium. RNAcentral describes it as "partial 16S ribosomal RNA". It matches the Rfam family "Bacterial small subunit ribosomal RNA", at positions 28 to 507 of the family's 1533-position model. The record is from RNAcentral.
GAUGAACGCUGGCGGCGUGCCUAAUACAUGCAAGUCGAGCGAACAGACGAGGAGCUUGCUCCUCUGACGUUAGCGGCGGACGGGUGAGUAACACGUGGAUAACCUACCUAUAAGACUGGGAUAACUUCGGGAAACCGGAGCUAAUACCGGAUAAUAUAUUGAACCGCAUGGUUCAAUAGUGAAAGACGGUUUUGCUGUCACUUAUAGAUGGAUCCGCGCCGCAUUAGCUAGUUGGGAAGGUAACGGCUUACCAAGGCGACGAGGCGUAGCCGACCUGAGAGGGUGAUCGGCCACACUGGAACUGAGACACGGUCCAGACUCCUACGGGAGGCAGCAGUAGGGAAUCUUCCGCAAUGGGCGAAAGCCUGACGGAGCAACGCCGCGUGAGUGAUGAAGGUCUUCGGAUCGUAAAACUCUGUUAUUAGGGAAGAACAAAUGUGUAAGUAACUAUGCACGUCUUGACGGUACCUAAUCAGAAAGCCACGGCUAACUACGUG